RNAcentral lists this transfer RNA (71 nucleotides) under Chloroflexota bacterium. RNAcentral's name for it is "Chloroflexi bacterium (bioreactor metagenome) tRNA-Gln". It matches the Rfam family "tRNA". Rfam says of the family: Transfer RNA (tRNA) molecules are approximately 80 nucleotides in length. Their secondary structure includes four short double-helical elements and three loops (D, anti-codon, and T loops). Further hydrogen bonds mediate the characteristic L-shaped molecular structure. tRNAs have two regions of fundamental functional importance: the anti-codon, which is responsible for specific mRNA codon recognition, and the 3' end, to which the tRNAs corresponding amino acid is attached (by aminoacyl-tRNA synthetases). tRNAs cope with the degeneracy of the genetic code in two manners: having more than one tRNA (with a specific anti-codon) for a particular amino acid; and 'wobble' base-pairing, i.e. permitting non-standard base-pairing at the 3rd anti-codon position. The record is from RNAcentral. Lineage: Bacteria; Bacillati; Chloroflexota.
UGAGGGAUUGUCUAACGGCAGGACGUCUGUCUCUGGAACAGAAAGUCAUGGUUCGAAUCCAUGUCCCUCAG